GACGAACGCUGGCGGCGUGCUUAACACAUGCAAGUCGAGCGGUAAGGCCUCUUCGGUGGUACACGAGCGGUGACCGGGUGCGUAACACGUGGGCGACCUGCCCCCACCUCUGGGAUAAGCCUGGGAAACUGGGUCUAAUACCGGAUAUGACUUUUCCUCGCAUGGGGUUUGGUGGAAAGUUUUUUCGGCUGUGGCUGGGACGGCGGCCUAUAAGCUCGUUGGUGGGGGGAUGGCCUACCAAGAGGGCGACGGGUAGCCGGGGUGCGAGGGCGACCGGCCACACUGGGAGGGAGGCACGGCCCGGAAUCCUUCGGGAGGGAGCGAUGGGGAGUAUUGGGCAAGGGGCGGGAGCCAGGAGCAGCGACGCCGCGUAGGGGAUGGCGGCCAGGGAGUAGUAAACCUCUUUCGACCCCGGCGAAUUUGGACGGUAGGGGGAGAAGAAGCACCGGCCAACUACGUG
RNAcentral lists this ribosomal RNA (460 nucleotides) under uncultured bacterium. RNAcentral's name for it is "partial 16S ribosomal RNA". It matches the Rfam family "Bacterial small subunit ribosomal RNA", at positions 28 to 507 of the family's 1533-position model. The record is from RNAcentral.